CCUACGGGAGGCUUCAGUGGGGAAUAUUGGACAAUGGGGGCAACCCUGAUCCAGCCAUGCCGCGUGUGUGAACAAGGCCCUCGGGUUGUAAAGCACUUUCAGUGAGGAAGAACGCCUGGUGGUUAAUACCCAUCAGGAAAGACAUCACUCACAGAAGAAGCACCGGCUAACUCCGUGCCAGCAGCCGCGGUAAUACGGAGGGUGCGAGCGUUAAUCGGAAUUACUGGGCGUAAAGCGCGCGUAGGUGGCUUGAUAAGCCGGUUGUGAAAGCCCCGGGCUCAACCUGGGAACGGCAUCCGGAACUGUCAAGCUAGAGUGCAGGAGAGGAAGGUAGAAUUCCCGGUGUAGCGGUUAAAUGCGUAGAGAUCGGGAGGAAUAGCAGUGGCGAAGGCGGCCUUCUGGACUGACCCUGACACUGAGGUGCGAAAGCGUGGGUAGCAAACAGGAUUAGAUACCCUUGUAGUC
Molecule: ribosomal RNA, 465 nt
Filed under: Vreelandella stevensii
Lineage: Bacteria; Pseudomonadati; Pseudomonadota; Gammaproteobacteria; Oceanospirillales; Halomonadaceae
Description: partial 16S ribosomal RNA
Rfam family: Bacterial small subunit ribosomal RNA
Source: RNAcentral